UAAAGUUUUAAGUAAUUAAAUAAAAAAUGUAGAAAUAAGCGGAAGCAACUUAGAGAUAGCUAUGUAGCUGAAGGCCCAGAGAAAAUUCCUGGUUCUAUCUUCAGUUUGUGGUACAUGAUUCGGGACUACUUAGAGCCCCUUCCCAAAAGGGAUGGAUGAAUGUGGCAGGAGAUGUAGAACAAAUAGUAGAAAGUGACCAGAGGCUUCCAACUCCAUUUAUACCUUUGGCAGCUCCAUUACCUCCUCCAGUCCCUGGGGCUACCAUGGGGGGGGGGGGGGGUGGGAAGCCCUCUGGACAAUGUGCUUCCUCCCAAAAACGAACGAGAAUUGAAGGAGGAGGCAGAGAGGGAACAAUGCAGGUGGGACUGGGAUUAUGGGGGUCUAAGACAAGCCUUUGGAAAACUUACUGUUACUCGUAAGCCUCUCCAGUCGCCUUCUAAACAAACAAGAACAAGAGUGGGAUCUCUGUCUCUACUCUAGUGGUCUCUGUAUGAGGCUAGGCAGGCUUGGGAAGACACUUCAGGAUUUAGUAGCCAAUCGUACUCUUAAAAUGCAAUUACUAAAACAAAAAGGGGGAGAAGAGGUUGUGUUUGUAUCUUUCCAGAAGGAGCAGUACAGUCAAUUUGGGUGCCAGAAUGGUACGUGCGACACCACAAUGGACCCAGAGAAGUUCCUUGUCCCUCCGUUCAAGAGACUGAGAGUUGCCCCAAUGACAGCAAAGAAGAAGAAGCUAACAACUGAGGCCCAGCAAAUAGCAGAAGAGCAAGGAGUGGAAGCUACUCCUUCAGCCAUGUUUAUGGCUGUUAGCAUAGAGAAAUAAAUAGAGAAGUAAGCAGUAGAAAAUAAGCCAUAGAAAUAGAGAGUAGGAAAUAAGUUGUAGGAAUAUAGAAAUAAGAAGUAGAAAAUAAGCAGUAGCAGUAGAAAAUAAGUAGAAAUAAGUUGUAGAAAUGUAGAAAUAAGCGGGGGUUGCAACCCAGGAAAGGUUUGGGCAAGGGCAGCCAGGCCUACCUAUGGUUCUGUAAGCAGGGGUUGCAACCCAGAAAGGUUUGGGCAAGGGCAGCCAAGCCUAUCUAUAGUUCAUAGUUAGAGUUAGAGAAAUAAGUAGAAA
Molecule: long non-coding RNA, 1108 nt
Organism: Myotis brandtii (Brandt's bat)
Lineage: Eukaryota; Metazoa; Chordata; Mammalia; Chiroptera; Vespertilionidae
Exons: 3
Source: RefSeq, a predicted model, not a curated record